AGUUUAUUGAUUGCGAUUAGAUUAUGGCAAUUCUCUUUUCAACGAUAGAGAAUGCAAUAUAAAAACUCAAUCCAUCAUUCAAGAUGCCCAUAUCCCAUUAAAGCAUCUUUCUACAUUUCCGUUUCUGAAUCGAACAACUUGCCUUUAUGCUCAGAUAAGACGUAAAAUAUAUGUAUACCAGCAUAGCCAAGAGAAGGAAAAGAAAAAAGAAGAGAGAGUGAGUGGUACUGCUAAACAGACGCCAGAAGAGAGCCCGAGAUUCCAAUCUCUCGACUUCUCUCUGGAAUUCCCCAUCCCCAGAAACUGACUGCUAUAAGAAGACAACGGUACUAGACAUCACAGUGAUGUAAAAUAUGACUUCGUAAUGUAGGAACAUGUAAAGUUUGCAUAAUUGUUAUUAUCGUACACAUCGAUAUCACAUAUCAAUGUUAGGUCAAAUUAAAAAUAGUAAAAGUCAAAUUAAAAAUGAGUUUUAGAAAUUUUUGUCGAAGACGAAUGUUUUAGAAGUUUUGGAGACUAUGAGAAUUUAAUGUUAACGAAUCGGGUAAUGCAUAUUUUAUUCGAUGAGCUAAAGAUUUUUAAUUUUAGAAAUUAAAAAAUUCGAAAAGUUGAAAAUUGAGAAAUUGAAAAACUUCAAAAUUCGGAAAUUUGGAAAUUUGAAAGUUUAAGAAUUCGGAAAUUUGAAAUUUUGAAAAUUCGAAAAGUUGGAAAUUUAAAAAAUUGAAAAAUUCAAAGAGUCAAAAAAGAGCCCGAGAUUCCGAUAUUCUAACUUCUCCGUGGAAUUUCCCCUUCUCCAGGAUAUGAUAUUUACGAGAAGGAAACGACACCAGCAUCCACAUGCACUAUGAUUAGACAUUACAGUAGUCUAAAACUUGACCUCGAUCAGCGACCUCGAUGAGUCUUCCUCUUGUCCACCUUUCCCUGAUUUCUUUUCGUAGUUCGAUUUAACUUGAUCUACCGUUUGGAUGUAAACUAAGCUUAAACGAUGUAUCCCAGUCAAUUACAUGAUCUCUGUAAUUUAACUUAAUAUUAGUAUCCCGUAGAGAUAAGAACAUAGUGAAAAUUUGUGAAAAGUAUAGUAGCAAUUGCACGAAGUAAUUGUAAUGAUUUU
RNAcentral lists this unclassified non-coding RNA (1111 nucleotides) under Bombus terrestris (buff-tailed bumblebee). RNAcentral describes it as "misc RNA ENSBTSG00005034644.1". The record is from RNAcentral. Lineage: Eukaryota; Metazoa; Arthropoda; Insecta; Hymenoptera; Apidae.